UGAAGAGAAAAUACUUGGCAAUAGAAACUCAGAGAGGAGCAGAUCAAAAGAAACAGAAGAAUUCAGAAAUAUCUGCAGUAGCAAAUGUGGAGACUGGAGCCUUUCUGGGACAAGGCCAUUGAGUAAGGAGAAUUACAGGAGGAAAACCUUACAUAGUACCAGAUACGAAUAACCAAGAUCUACCAAAAUAAAAUAUUCAGAAUACCUUUUCAGAAGGAUGCUUUGGGUGAAAGCAGUACUCAAGAUGAUUUAUGCAUCUCUCCUUGUAGCCUGAUCAGUGCCUUGUCAGAAACCACCUCCAUGGUGAUGCUGGGCUCAGCUCACAGCAGCAGAGAGUAAAACCAGCUCGGGGAUUACCUUUCCUUAUCCAAGGAGUGGCUGGGACGGACAAUUUGAAUAAUCACCGGGGCCAGGCUGCAGCUGCCAGGGACCUGGGAACUCCUGCGCUUGGAAUCGCCCUGCCCGCAGCCACAGCUGAGGAACAGACAUUUCCCUGCUCCGGGUGA
Molecule: long non-coding RNA, 506 nt
Filed under: Chloebia gouldiae (Gouldian finch)
Lineage: Eukaryota; Metazoa; Chordata; Aves; Passeriformes; Passeridae
Description: Erythrura gouldiae (Gouldian finch) lncRNA (ENSEGOG00005007056.1)
Source: RNAcentral